Dioscorea cayenensis subsp. rotundata (Guinea yam) is the source of this 186-nucleotide long non-coding RNA. RefSeq lists it as uncharacterized. The record is from RefSeq and is a predicted model, not a curated record. NCBI's taxonomy places the organism in Eukaryota, Viridiplantae, Streptophyta, Magnoliopsida, Dioscoreales, Dioscoreaceae. The transcript is spliced from 3 exons.
GGAGUGACAUGGUUAAAGAGACAGGGUCAGAGCUAGGCCCAAUUGAUUGCUUUAAAAAAUUCCACACUAAAAAGGAUGGAGAGAGUUGGGCUACUGAGAAAGCAAAAGAUCUAUGGGAUCAAAUGGAUAAUAUUAGGUCAAUUGCAACAUCUGAGGGUUCAAUAGUAAAUGAAUGGGAAAUAUAUC